GCUAUGGUGGUUCAGUGGUAGACUUCUCACCUCCCACAUGGGAAGUUCGGGUUUGAUUCCUGUCCAGUGCA
RNAcentral lists this transfer RNA (71 nucleotides) under Bos taurus (domestic cattle). It matches the Rfam family "tRNA". Rfam says of the family: Transfer RNA (tRNA) molecules are approximately 80 nucleotides in length. Their secondary structure includes four short double-helical elements and three loops (D, anti-codon, and T loops). Further hydrogen bonds mediate the characteristic L-shaped molecular structure. tRNAs have two regions of fundamental functional importance: the anti-codon, which is responsible for specific mRNA codon recognition, and the 3' end, to which the tRNAs corresponding amino acid is attached (by aminoacyl-tRNA synthetases). tRNAs cope with the degeneracy of the genetic code in two manners: having more than one tRNA (with a specific anti-codon) for a particular amino acid; and 'wobble' base-pairing, i.e. permitting non-standard base-pairing at the 3rd anti-codon position. RNAcentral also lists the same sequence under 1 other name. The record is from Rfam by way of RNAcentral. Lineage: Eukaryota; Metazoa; Chordata; Mammalia; Artiodactyla; Bovidae.